This 377-nucleotide unclassified non-coding RNA is filed under the name uncultured Frankiales bacterium. RNAcentral's name for it is "contains 16S-23S intergenic spacer region". The record is from RNAcentral. Lineage: Bacteria; Bacillati; Actinomycetota; Actinomycetes; Frankiales.
UCCGAGUUGACCCCGGCAGUCUCCUAUGAGUCCCCGGCAUUACCCGCUGGCAACAUAGGACGAGGGUUGCGCUCGUUGCGGGACUUAACCCAACAUCUCACGACACGAGCUGACGACAACCAUGCACCACCUGUGCGCAGCCCUUGCGGACCCGACAUCUCUGCCGGAUUUCUGCACAUGUCAAGCCUAGGUAAGGUUCUUCGCGUUGCCUCGAAUUAAGCCACAUGCUCCGCCGCUUGUGCGGGCCCCCGUCAAUUCCUUUGAGUUUUAGCCUUGCGGCCGUACUCCCCAGGCGGGGCGCUUAAUGCGUUAGCUGCGGCACGGAGGCCGUGGAAGGACCCCCACACCUAGCGCCCAACGUUUACGGCGUGGACUAC